Molecule: long non-coding RNA, 90 nt
Organism: Amblyraja radiata (thorny skate)
Lineage: Eukaryota; Metazoa; Chordata; Chondrichthyes; Rajiformes; Rajidae
Exons: 3
Source: RefSeq, a predicted model, not a curated record
AGUUAAAACAAAUGAAUUUAUGAAUAAGCUUAUUGGCCACGUAUUCACAUACAAGGAAUUUGCCUUGUUGCUCCGCCCGCAAGUGACAAC